UGGGGUGUCGUCCAAGGGCAGGACCGCGGUUUUUGGUGCCGCUUAUGGGGGUUCGAAUCCCUCCGCCCCAGCCA
This 74-nucleotide transfer RNA is filed under the name Coriobacteriaceae bacterium. RNAcentral's name for it is "tRNA-Gln". It matches the Rfam family "tRNA". Rfam says of the family: Transfer RNA (tRNA) molecules are approximately 80 nucleotides in length. Their secondary structure includes four short double-helical elements and three loops (D, anti-codon, and T loops). Lineage: Bacteria; Bacillati; Actinomycetota; Coriobacteriia; Coriobacteriales; Coriobacteriaceae. RNAcentral also lists the same sequence under 1 other name. The record is from RNAcentral.